This 183-nucleotide ribosomal RNA is filed under the name uncultured Methanomicrobiales archaeon. RNAcentral's name for it is "partial 16S ribosomal RNA". It matches the Rfam family "Archaeal small subunit ribosomal RNA", at positions 1158 to 1338 of the family's 1478-position model. The record is from RNAcentral. Lineage: Archaea; Methanobacteriati; Methanobacteriota; Methanomicrobia; Methanomicrobiales.
GAAUUAUCUGGGCUACACGCGGGCUACAAUGGGUGGGACAAUGGGUAUCGACACCGAAAGGUGAAGGCAAAUCUCCUAAACCCAUCCGUAGUUCGGAUUGUGGGCUGCAACUCGCCCACCAUGAAGCUGGAAUCUGUAGUAAUCGUGUCUCAAAAUGGCACGGUGAAUAUGUCCCUGCUCCUU